This 247-nucleotide ribosomal RNA is filed under the name uncultured bacterium. Its description in RNAcentral is "partial 16S ribosomal RNA". It matches the Rfam family "Bacterial small subunit ribosomal RNA", at positions 530 to 776 of the family's 1533-position model. The record is from RNAcentral.
GGGUGCAAACGUUGCUCGGAAUCAUUGGGCGUAAAGCGCACGUAGGCGGCAUUCUAAGUCGGAUGUGAAAUCCCUCGGCUCAACCGAGGACGUGCAUCCGAAACUGGAACGCUCGAGUAUGGAAGAGGGUCGCGGAAUUCUCGGUGUAGAGGUGAAAUUCGUAGAUAUCGGGAGGAACACCAGUGGCGAAGGCGGCGACCUGGGCCAAUACUGACGCUGAGGUGCGAAAGCGUGGGGAGCAAACAGG